RNAcentral lists this ribosomal RNA (249 nucleotides) under uncultured organism. RNAcentral's name for it is "partial 16S ribosomal RNA". It matches the Rfam family "Bacterial small subunit ribosomal RNA", at positions 355 to 619 of the family's 1533-position model. The record is from RNAcentral.
UGGGGAAUUUUCGGCAAUGGGCGAAAGCCUGACCGAGCAAUGCCGCGUGAAGGAUGAAGGUUCUAUGGAUUGUAAACUUCUGUGGAAAAUAACUAAACAAAUGAAGUGUUUUCUAGAAAGAGGUUGCUAACUCUGUGCCAGCAGCCGCGGUAAUACGUAGGGCGCAAGCGUUAUCCGGAAUUAUUGGGCGUAAAGAGCUCGUAGGCGGUUUGUCGCGUCUGCCGUGAAAGUCCGGGGCUCAACUCCGGA